This 553-nucleotide ribosomal RNA is filed under the name uncultured bacterium. Its description in RNAcentral is "bacterial SSU rRNA". It matches the Rfam family "Bacterial small subunit ribosomal RNA", at positions 97 to 645 of the family's 1533-position model. The record is from RNAcentral.
GGCGGACGGGUGAGUAAUACAUCGGAACGUGCCCGAUCGUGGGGGAUAACGAAGCGAAAGCUUUGCUAAUACCGUAUACGAUCUACGGAUAAAAGCAGGGGACCGCAAGGCCUUGCGCGAACGGAGCGGCCGAUGGCAGAUUAGGUAGUUGGUGGGAUAAAAGCUUACCAAGCCGACGAUCUGUAGCUGGUCUGAGAGGACGACCAGCCACACUGGGACUGAGACACGGCCCAGACUCCUACGGGAGGCAGCAGUGGGGAAUUUUGGACAAUGGGCGAAAGCCUGAUCCAGCCAUGCCGCGUGCAGGAUGAAGGCCUUCGGGUUGUAAACUGCUUUUGUACGGAACGAAAAGACUCUGGUUAAUACCUGGGGUCCAUGACGGUUUUCGUUUUUAAUACCCCCCGGCUAACUACGUGCCAGCAGCCGCAGUAAUACGUAGGGUGCAAGUGUUAAUCGGAAUUACUGGGCGUAAAGCGUGCGCAGGCGGUUAUAUAAGACAGAUGUGAAAUCCCCGGGCUCAACCUGGAACUGCAUUUGUGACUGUAUAGCUAGA